AGAGUUUGAUCAUGGCUCAGGAUGAACGCUAGCGACAGGCUUAACACAUGCAAGUCGAGGGGCAGCGGGGUGUAGCAAUACACCGCCGGCGACCGGCGCACGGGUGAGUAACGCGUAUGCAACUUGCCUAUCAGAGGGGGAUAACCCGGCGAAAGUCGGACUAAUACCGCAUGAAGCAGGGGUCCCGCAUGGGGAUAUUUGCUAAAGAUUCAUCGCUGAUAGAUAGGCAUGCGUUCCAUUAGGCAGUUGGCGGGGUAACGGCCCACCAAACCGACGAUGGAUAGGGGUUCUGAGAGGAAGGUCCCCCACAUUGGUACUGAGACACGGACCAAACUCCUACGGGACGCAGCAG
RNAcentral lists this ribosomal RNA (352 nucleotides) under uncultured bacterium. RNAcentral describes it as "bacterial SSU rRNA". It matches the Rfam family "Bacterial small subunit ribosomal RNA", at positions 8 to 354 of the family's 1533-position model. The record is from RNAcentral.